UAAUUGACCUCAGUGUAUGAAGAGGACUCUCCAUUUACAUGUACAAAUUGGAGUCUAUUAGAUAGAUAUGAUACAAACCACUGCAGCGCAGUACCUGUAAUACCUACAGCAUGUUCUAAUCGCUCUAAUAGGAUAUUAUGGUCAACAGUAUCAAACGCAGCACUGAGGUCUAGCAGGACAAGCACAGAGAUGAGUCCACUGUCAGAGGCCAUAAGAAGAUCAUUUGUAACCUUCACUAAAGCUGUUUCUGUGCUGUGAUGAGCUCUGAAACCUGACUGAAACUCUUCAAAUAAGCCAUUCCUCUGCAGAUGAUCUGUUAGCUGUUUGACAACUACUCUUUCAAGGAUGUUUGAUAUGAAAGGAAGGUUGGAGAUUGGCCUAUAAUUAGCUAAGACUGCUGGGUCUAGAGAUGCUUUUUAAGUAAAGGUUUAACUACAGCCAGCUUGAAGGCCUGUGGUACAUAGCCGAUUAUUAGAGAUAGGUUGAUCAUAUUUAAGAUUGAAGAAUUAAUUAAUGGCAGGACUUCUUUGAGCAGUUUUGUAGGAAUGGGGUCUAAAAGACACGUUGAUGAUUUGGAGGAAUUAAUUAUUGAAGUUAACUCAGAAAGAUCAAUUGGAGAAAAAGAGUCUAACUUAACAUCUAUGGUACUAAAAGUAGCUGUAGAUAAUAUUACAUCUGUGGGAUGAUUAUUGGUAAUUUUUUCUCUAAUGAUAAAAAUUUUAUUUGUGAAGAAGUUCAUGAAGUCAUUACUAGUUAAUGUUAAAGGGAUUGUUGGCUCAGUAGAGCUUGUUAAGGGUUCAGAAAUUGAGGAGGAAGACCAAAAAUAAUGACCACUGAUCCUGCCGGGUGCAAUUAGACGACAUUUUAAUGAAUACACAUGUGGAGUCCAACACUGUGCAGAUUCAGUGUUGAACUGUCUUACAAUAGUCAGAACAAAGACUUUAUAGGGGUGAAAUAGUACAGCCCCCUUCUGUUGCCAGGCAGACUCAAGAUCUCCUACGUCAAUCCAAAACCACAACUGUUCAGUUGACUUUGACAUAGUUUAAAAAGAACAUUGUCUUCGCGUCGAAGCCAGGUGUCUUCCUGUUGUCCCCGGACGCUCGCUUAUCUGUCUGGAACAUCAGGCACACG
Molecule: long non-coding RNA, 1131 nt
Filed under: Oreochromis niloticus (Nile tilapia)
Lineage: Eukaryota; Metazoa; Chordata; Actinopteri; Cichliformes; Cichlidae
Description: lncRNA (ENSONIG00000032112.1)
Source: RNAcentral